GCAGUGUAGCACUCGCGCCCUUGGGGGCUAGCGUUUGGCCGGAGCUACACACUCUUUACUCACGCACGCACACCGCCGUACACAGCACAAUCGUUCACCGUCCCGCCAAAGGCUCGUCUCUCGGGUUCUGCCUAGUGGAAGGAGUCGGACAACGCCGCACGUCACGGGCGUUUCGGAUUUCUUGCUUCCCAAAGGUUUGACGGCGGCCACCGGCGCCCCGGCCCAGCUCUGCUUUCCUUUGCUGACUCCUUCCUUUAGGUGUGAAUUUUAAAAUGCUGAUACCGCCCCAAGAGAGCUGAGUCAAGUGAGGCAAACGUUCGCCUGUUGUUCUCCUGACAGACUCCCUGCAGUGGGCAGGGGAAAUGUGGCCUUGGCCGACAUUAAUGAAGUGCCAGGAUGGAGGGAGGGGGCCUGCUGAUUUGUUCUGUUUUACUUUUUAAGGGUAACUAGAGCGUUACUGGAGUCGUCUGUGGGUUUGGGGAGUAUGUGGCGCGUGUGUGUGUCACACAUUUCACUGGCAACUCCCGCCAACCCCUUCCCAAGAAAUGAAGGCUCUAAUGUGGGCAGUUCUGCAACAAAGGUGAAACUUCCCCAAAUCACGAUUCCCCGCAAGAUGAGAGAGCAGGUGCAGCAUCCAUUUUCCCACUAUCACGCUUGAGAUGGUGGCUUUGGGCACUGCCGGGUGCCCCGACAUCCUUCCCAGAGCCCAGCCUUCCCACCCAGGCCCGGCCCUGCGCGGCCGCCUGCCUUUGCAUCAGAGACCGCGGCUGUGCCAUUGCCAAGGUGGGCAGCGCCGCCUCGCUUCCCCAUUCCUCCGUCUCCCACGCCUCUUGCGUGUUUGAGUCGCGAAGUGAUGGACUUUAAAUCUCAGAGGAGGAAUGAGAAACUUGGUUAGUGGCUCUCUUGGCAUGUUCGUAGCCCUGUGGUUGAAGUGGCUGAAACCUGCGUUGAGCCUCAGUCCAAGCAGCUGGGGCCACACCAGUUUGCAAAAGCGGAUGUGGCAGUUUCCACCGCAGCAGCAGCCUGCUGGCGCCUCAUCAGAUUCUCCUUUGGAGGAAGUAUCUUCUUCCCUUCAUUCUCGGUGAAUGGCAUCCAGAGAUAACCAAAAUCAGGUGUAUCUAGUUUCAAGUUCUGUCUUGCAACCGUGAUAAUUGGAGGAUGCAAACUUUACACUUUCUUCUCUAGCUGUCUACCACCACUGCUGCGCUUGUGGAUGACUGCAGGAACACCGGGUACUUGCCACAAGUAUCUCUCCAGAUUCAUCAGCCUUUCACCUGUGACAAGCUCAGUCAAGAAGUGGCUCCUAAGUAAAAGCUGGGGAAGAACAAGGAAGAUAGAGCUCAGAGUAGAAAGCUGUGAAGUUCUGCACAACAGGUCCCCUUGGCCUGCUCUAACAGUUGGAAGGUGGGGGAAGCAUUCAUUUACUCAACAAAUAUAUACUGAGUGCCUUUUGCAUGCUAGGCACGCUUCUAGGGGUUGAGGACACAGCAGAGAGCACAAACAACAAUUCCAGCCCUCGUGGAGCUUACCUCUUCCACGUGGGAAAGACAGAUGGUAAAUGUAUAAGGACAAUAUAUGGACUGCUGUAUGAUUAGAAAUGCUAUGGAGAGGCUAGGAGUGCUGUCUCAUGCCUGUAAUCCCGCAGUUUGGGAGGCCAAAGGAGGAGGAUCACUUGAGGCCAGAAGUUGGAGACCCAACCUGGGCAACAUAGCAUGGUAGCUCAUGUGGAAGCUUCCCGAGGCCCUCACCCAGAAGCAGAUGCUGGAGCCAUGCUUGUACAGCUUGCAGAACUAAAGCCCAGCUGGCUUGGUUCCAUGAAUCUUUGCCCUUCUUUCCAUCCACUUCUUCCUGCUUGGACAUUGGUUACCUGGAGAAGCAGAAGCCAUUUUAAGAUGAUGAAAGCAAAAGUUAAAUGUAUGAGAUGAUGGUGCAGAAAGCCAAAAGGGGCCUCCAGAACACUGAGCUUUGUGGAGUCGUGUACCAUAGCUGUAUUGCCGACCUCUGAACUUCCUGCUGAGAUAAAAAACAAUCCUUAUGUGUUUAUACUACUUUUAUUUCAGUUUCUUUUAAGUAUAGCAAACACAUUCCAAAUAAUAUGCAUCUGAAGUUUUUGGUUUUGUUUUUAAAUUUUUUUUUUAGGGAUGGGUUCUGGCUGCGUAGUGGCUAGAGUGUAGUGGCUAUUCUUAGGUGCGGUCAUAGCUCACUACAGCCUCUAACUGGCCUCAAGCAAUCCUCCCACCUCAGCUUCCAGGGUAGCUGGGAUUACAGGAGAGCACCACACUGAAGUUUCUGUUAAAUAGAAUGUUUGCUGUAGAUUUUUAGUUGAUGUCCUCUGUUAGGUUGAAAACCUUCCUUUAUUUUCUUGUGAAAUUUCUAAGAGAUUUUUAAAUCAUUAACUGGUAUUGAACUUUAUAAAAUGAUUUUUCUGUGUCUGAGAUGAUCAUGUGAUUAUUUUUCCUGUUUAUGUCCCUUGAUGUGAUGAUUUUUAUUGUAGAUCUUCCUUUAUUGAACCAAAUUUACGUUAUUUAUAUUAACCCUAUUUGAUUGUAAUAUAUUUUUAGUAGGGUAUUAGACUCUGUUACCUAACAUUUUACUUAGCAUUAUUUUGCAUCUAUGUUCAUAAGUAAAAUAGGAGUUUUUUUCUUUAUGUGACUAGGUAUCAACAUUAUAUUGGCCUUAUAAAUUAUGUUGAACACUU
Molecule: long non-coding RNA, 2698 nt
Filed under: Homo sapiens (human)
Lineage: Eukaryota; Metazoa; Chordata; Mammalia; Primates; Hominidae
Description: FHIP1A divergent transcript, transcript variant 6 (FHIP1A-DT)
Source: RNAcentral